CAACAACCCUUUGAGGUAGUCAGAAGGUAGCUUUAUUUAUCUCCACUUUGUGGAGAAAUGGAGGCACUGGGAGGAUGAAUGACUUGCCCUAGCUAUGGAAGGGGCCAGUCAGUGGACACAUCUACAGCUCAAGCUUUCCACUGCCUUGUUGGUGGCCUUCUCACUGAAGAGCUGGACGCCACAGGACUUUGCAUGCGUACGGGACUGUCUAGACUCCAGUUCCCUUAGGCUGGACACUUUGGGACUUGAAAACCCUGCCAUAGGUGGCCAUGAAAUGUGGAGAGAGAGAAGAAAGAGAUGUGUGGACCUAAGGAAAGAUAAGAGGCCAUGUGGUUCUGGAAAGACUGAUGGGAACAUAUAAAGAAGUUGUCUCUGUUCUUGGGCUUAGGAAAGCAUGCUCCCUCUCCUUCAGGACCCGACUCUAAAUCCAUGCCUCCUAGACUUCCGUGGUGGUCCAGUGGAUGAGAAUCCGGCUCUCAAUGCAGGAGACACGGGUUUGAUCCUUGGCCCACCCGGGGAGAUUCCACAUACUGUGGGGCAAGUAAGCCCAUGCACCACAACUACUGAGCCCAUGCCCUAGGGCCUUCGGGCUGCAGCUUCUGAAGCCUGUGUGCCGAGAGCCUGAGCUCUGCAAUAAGAGAAGCCACCACAAUGAAGAGUACCCCAAGAACCCCGACGAAGAGUGGCCCCUACUAACUACAACUAGAGAAAAGCUCGCACAGCAGCGAGGACCCAGCACGACCAUAAAAUAAAUAAAUGAUAAAUCCAUGCCUUCUGGGGAGUCCUCCUCCUUCCAGCCCUAUUAUUUCUAGAUCCCUUCUGUAAGUUUGUACCAACCUUCCUGAGAGGAG
Molecule: long non-coding RNA, 851 nt
Filed under: Capra hircus (goat)
Lineage: Eukaryota; Metazoa; Chordata; Mammalia; Artiodactyla; Bovidae
Description: lncRNA (ENSCHIG00000003890.1)
Source: RNAcentral